CAGCAGCCGCGGUAAUACGGAGGAUCCGAGCGUUAUCCGGAUUUAUUGGGUUUAAAGGGAGCGUAGGCGGACGCUUAAGUCAGUUGUGAAAGUUUGCGGCUCAACCGUAAAAUUGCAGUUGAUACUGGAUAUCUUGAGUGCAGUUGAGGCAGGCGGAAUUCGUGGUGUAGCGGUUAAAUGCUUAGAUAUCACGAAGAACUCCGAUUGCGAAGGCAGCCUGCUAAGCUGCAACUGACAUUGAGGCUCGAAAGUGUGGGUAUCAAACAGGAUUAGAUACCCUGGUAGUCCACACGGUAAACGACGAAUACUCGCUGUUUGCGAUAUACAGCAAGCGGCCAAGCGAAAGCGUUAAGUAUUCCACCUGGGGAGU
This 370-nucleotide ribosomal RNA is filed under the name uncultured bacterium. RNAcentral describes it as "bacterial SSU rRNA". It matches the Rfam family "Bacterial small subunit ribosomal RNA", at positions 509 to 881 of the family's 1533-position model. The record is from RNAcentral.